Molecule: ribosomal RNA, 445 nt
Filed under: uncultured bacterium
Lineage: Bacteria
Description: partial 16S ribosomal RNA
Rfam family: Bacterial small subunit ribosomal RNA
Source: RNAcentral
GUGAGGAAUAUUGGUCAAUGGGCGAGAGCCUGAACCAGCCAAGUCGCGUGAAGGAUGAAGGUUUUAUGAAUUGUAAACUUCUUUUGCAGGGGAAUAAAGUACGGUACGUGUACCGUUUUGUAUGUACUCUGCGAAUAAGGAUCGGCUAACUCCGUGCCAGCAGCCGCGGUAAUACGGAGGAUCCAAGCGUUAUCCGGAUUUAUUGGGUUUAAAGGGUGCGUAGGUGGUUUGAUAAGUCAGCGGUGAAAGUUUGCAGCUUAACUGUAAAAAUGCCGUUGAAACUGUCGGACUUGAGUGUAAAUGAGGUAGGCGGAAUGCGUGGUGUAGCGGUGAAAUGCAUAGAUAUCACGCAGAACUCCGAUUGCGAAGGCAGCUUACUAAGCUACAACUGACACUGAAGCACGAAAGCGUGGGGAUCAAACAGGAUUAGAUACCCCUGUAGUCC